Molecule: ribosomal RNA, 483 nt
Filed under: uncultured bacterium
Lineage: Bacteria
Description: bacterial SSU rRNA
Rfam family: Bacterial small subunit ribosomal RNA
Source: RNAcentral
GAUGAACGCUAGCUACAGGCUUAACACAUGCAAGUCGAGGGGCAGCAUGGUCUUAGCUUGCUAAGACUGAUGGCGACCGGCGCACGGGUGAGUAACACGUAUCCAACCUGCCGUCUACUCUUGGACAGCCUUCUGAAAGGAAGAUUAAUACAAGAUGGCAUCAUGAGUCCGCAUGUUCACAUGAUUAAAGGUAUUCCGGUAGACGAUGGGGAUGCGUUCCAUUAGAUAGUAGGCGGGGUAACGGCCCACCUAGUCUUCGAUGGAUAGGGGUUCUGAGAGGAAGGUCCCCCACAUUGGAACUGAGACACGGUCCAAACUCCUACGGGAGGCAGCAGUGAGGAAUAUUGGUCAAUGGGCGAGAGCCUGAACCAGCCAAGUAGCGUGAAGGAUGACUGCCCUAUGGGUUGUAAACUUCUUUUAUAAAGGAAUAAAGUACGGGUAUGGAUAACCCGUUUGCAUGUACUUUAUGAAUAAGGAUCGGCU